This 437-nucleotide ribosomal RNA is filed under the name Metschnikowia reukaufii. Its description in RNAcentral is "eukaryotic LSU rRNA". It matches the Rfam family "Eukaryotic large subunit ribosomal RNA", at positions 145 to 645 of the family's 3401-position model. Lineage: Eukaryota; Fungi; Ascomycota; Pichiomycetes; Serinales; Metschnikowiaceae. The record is from RNAcentral.
GUAUUUUGAAGGUGGGUUUGGUUAGGAAAAGUUACUUUAAGUCCAUUGGAAAAUGGCGCCAUGGAGGGUGAUAGCCCCGUAAAAGUAUCCCUUUUCCUUUUAUCCAUUCCCUCCAAAGAGUCGAGUUGUUUGGGAAUGCAGCUCUAAGUGGGUGGUAAAUUCCAUCUAAAGCUAAAUAUUGGCGAGAGACCGAUAGCGAACAAGUACAGUGAUGGAAAGAUGAAAAGCACUUUGAAAAGAGAGUGAAAAAGUACGUGAAAUUGUUGAAAGGGAAGGGCUUGCAAGCAGACACAACCUCGGUUGGGCCAGCAUCGGAGUGGGGGGAGACAAAAAAGAAAAGGAAUGUAACUCAUUGAGUAUUAUACCCUUUUUCUCAUAUCUCCACCCCCUUCCGAGGCCUGCKAUUCUUCAAGGAUGCUGGCGUAAUGGUUGCAAGU